Molecule: long non-coding RNA, 2048 nt
Filed under: Capra hircus (goat)
Lineage: Eukaryota; Metazoa; Chordata; Mammalia; Artiodactyla; Bovidae
Description: lncRNA (ENSCHIG00000002710.1)
Source: RNAcentral
GUCCAGCUUCGGGGCUUUCCAGGCCUCGAGGGAGGGAGCUGUGACCCUGACAAGGGCAAGGCCAAGCCUGAGCCUCCAAUCGACUGUGAUGUUUGGCGGCGGAAACACUGUGAAGGAGCAGGCCCUGCCCAGGGUGCGACGGAGUGGCUGGCUGUGCGGGUCAGUGGGGUUGGGCAGUGGCAGAAACGGAGUCAGAUGGAGACCACGGCUUCUGGAAGGAAUCCUAAUUCCACCAGGGUUGCAGUGUGCUUAUAAAACUUCUGAGAACCAGUAGAGGACAACUUGGAAAAACCAGUGCCUUAAAGCAAUGGUUUUCAACAGCCCUAAGAUCUCCAAUACAUACCCCCACUAUGACCAUAAACCACCACACACUGCAGUCAUCAAGAUACUACUUCCUUCAUGGAAAACCUUGGAGCAAGAUUAUUGAGAGAACAACCAGUGAUGAAUUUUCCAACUCACAUUCCUACAUCUUACGAAGACCACUCCUUACACACCAGGCUUUCUUGGUGGCUCUGGGCUUCCCUGGUAGCUCAAAUGGUAAAAUGUCUGCCUGCAAUGUGGAAGACCUGGGUUCGAUCUCUGAGUUGGGAAGAUCCCCUGGAGAAGGAAAUGACAACCCACUCCAGUACUCUUGCCUGGAAAAUCCCAUGGAUGGAAGAGCCUGGUAGGUUACAGUCCAUGGGGUCAAAAAGAGUCAGACACAACUGAGUGACUUCACUUCCUUGGUGGCUCAGACGGUAAAGAAUUCACCUUUGAUGCAAGAGACCUGGGUUUGAUCCCUGGCUUCAGUCCCUGGGUUAGGAAGAUGCCCUGGAGAAGGGAAUAGCUACUCCCCUCCAGUAUUCUUGCCUGGAGAAUUCCAUGGACUAUGUUCUUUCAUUGAAACAAGUGUCUUCUAAAUUUAGUCAGGAAAACUACAUUUUUACCAUACACAGAAAGAGAAAUACUUGAUAUAUUUUGAUUCAAAUAAAUCUUUACUGAGGACAUAAUUAUGUUCCAGGGAAAUAGAGUGGGAAAAGAGGGUAUUAUACCUCAGAGUUUACAGAUAAAAUGGAGGAGAAGUCACUUAAACAAAUGACACUUAAGUGCUGCAAUGUAUAAUAGUCAAAUAUUCUGGGCACUUGAAAAUCAGGGAGACAUUAGUGCUAAUCAGGGGGAAUCCAGGGAGGCUUCAGGGAAGAGGUGGCACUAUUAUCAAAGACUUGAAAACUGAGGACAACUUUGAUUCUUCAACUUACUAAUAAAAAUAUCUUUUCCACCGCUUCAAGUUUCCAAAAUUUUCCUUUCCAAACUCACCUUAAAACUAAAAGUCCCUUGGGGACUUCCCUGGAACUUAGUGGGUAAGACUCCACUCUUCCAAUGCAGGGGGCCCAGGUUUGAUCCCUGGUCAGGGAACUAAUAAGAUCCCACAUGCUGCAUGGUGGCACCAAACAAUUAAAAUUGUAAAAAGAAAAAAAAAAAACCCAUAAAAUCUCUAUAUAAGAUCCUGUUGUCAGAACUGUGAUUCCCACACAUCUGCUGAUGUGGCUAGGUGGCUUCCGGAACAUGCCAGAGACCCCUUCAGCUGUGAAUUCUGUCACUCCUGAGCCAUAUGUGAAGGGACAGUCACAGAUAAUCCACAAGGUCAACGUCACCACUACACCUGACACCCAGUCACUGAAUGUUUUACAGGUACAUUGAGAACAAAUGAACCCAAAGAGCACAAAAUAUGAAAUAAACCAUCCUCCUAAAAAUACCAGAAUACAAAUGACUGCGGGCUUCCCUCGUGGCUCAGAUGGUAAAGAAUACACCUGUGAUUCAGGAGACGCCAGAUUCGACCCCUGGGUCAGGAAGAUCCCCUGGAGAAGGGAAUGGCAACCCACUCCAGUUCUUGCCUGGAGAAUCCCAUGGACAGAGUCUGGUGGGCAACAAUGAACACAACUGAGCGACUAACACUUUCACUUCACAAACGACCACAGUGACUUCAUUACAGUGGAAAGAUCAUGACUGAUGUUUCUUUUUUCCUCUUAGAGUUCCCAAAUUUUCUCUCCUCUUAUCUUAAAGUUACA